Molecule: long non-coding RNA, 1771 nt
Filed under: Homo sapiens (human)
Lineage: Eukaryota; Metazoa; Chordata; Mammalia; Primates; Hominidae
Description: long independently transcribed non-coding RNA 2408 (LINC02408)
Source: RNAcentral
AGCAGGAAAGGCAGGGGAGGCAGCGGCGGGAAGCCUUCCUUAGCUGUGUGAUCCUAGAUGGCUGUUAACUUAGCAUUUGAGGACUGUCUCAGAUAGACACAAUUGGACCAGAUUUUGUACCAUAGAAAAAAAGGCUUUACCCACUCAAACAUCCACUGUUUUCAGCAGACAGAGUCCUAAGUGGAUGCCUGAUUGGCUGAUCCUGGGACACGUGCCUGCUCACUGGAUGUACUGAGGCUAUGAGAAGAAGGAUCUGGCAAAACAAACCUCAGGGACCUCAUCAAGAAGGCAGAGGACCUGGACUAACCAUGACAUCCAAACUGAACACAAUUUUAGAGAUAAUUCCCACAGAAGAGACAGGAUUUCUAGAAAAUGGAAAUAGCCCGCUCUUGGAAAAGAAUGGGCAUUUACUGAGAUGCAACUAUAAGCUGGUGAAAUAUAAUUUUGUUUAAAAUCAUUUAAUUUUAUUCCACAUCAUUUUCCUUUGAAGAUAUUUGAAUUGCCAGGGACAUUAAUAUUGUCAAGGAGAUUUGCUGUUUCACCCAAAUAUGAGAUGUCCACUUUGGGAUUAGAUCCCUGCCUCAUUCAAAUUUCCUUUUCCCUUAGUCUUUUCUUGAGUUACGGACAUUUGUUCAUUUUUUUCAACUUAUUCAACAAGUAUUUAUUGAACAACUACUAUGUGCCAUAUACUGUUUUUGGUUUGGUAUGGAAAGCCUGUAGGAAUCUCUGUUGUAAUUUUGGGAAUUUGCCCAACCUGCUCUUUAGGUGGUGCUAUGAACUGACUUGUGUGCUCCCAAAAUUUAUCUGUUGAAGCUCUAAGCUCCAAUGUGAUGAUAUUUGGAGAUGGGAUCUUUGGGAAUUAAUUAAGGUUAGAUGAGGUCAUGAGGAUGAGGCCCUUAUGAUGGGAUUAGUGCCCUUAUAAGAAAACACACCAGAGUGCCUGCUUGCUCUCUCUCUCUGCCAUGUGAAGACACAGUAUGAAGGCAGCUUAUUGCAAGCCUAAGAGAGAACCCUUGCCAGAAUUGGACUUCCGGUCUCCAGAACCAUGAAAACAUAAACUUCUGUUGUUUAAGCCACCCAGUCUACGGAAUUUUGUUCUAGAAGCCCAAGCUGACUAAUAUGGUUGGAGUCCAGUGCUUUGCGUGAAGAAGGUACAUCUCUAAAACUAAACAUUUUGCUCAUUGAAGCUUGAUCUGAAAUAAUUAAGACUUUGGUCGUGAAAAUCUUAGACAGAAUCCAUUCAGUGACUACCUUUAUUCUGAAUUGGCAGGCAGGCAGUUCUGAUAGAUCUGAGAAGAUUCUUUUGACAACAAUUUCUCCAACUUCAGAUAUGUUGAAAAACAAAAUAAAUAUGUUAAUAAUUAACAUGAUGUAAUGAACUUCAGUAGUAAAUUAAGACUAGAAGAGAUUAGGGGUACCAGGAAUCUUGGUUGUAAAGUGGCAUAUAUAAACAUAGUUGCAUCAAAACUUGCUAAAGUGGCCAGGUGCAGUGGCUCAUGCCUGUAAUCCCAGCACUUUGGGAAGCCGAGACAGGUGGAUCACCUGAGGUCAGGAGUUUGAGAUUAGCCUGGCCAACAGGGUGAAACCCUGUCUCUACUGAUAAUACAAAAAUUAGCCAGACAUGGUGGCACACGACUGUAAUCCCAGCUACUUAGGAGGCUGAGGCAGGAGAAUCGCUUGAACCUGGGAGGCAGAGGUUGCAGUGAGCCGGGAUCGCACCAUUGCACUCCAGCCUGGGCAACACGAGCAAAACUCUGUCUCAAAACAAAAC